UCCUAUCUAAGAGGGGCUAACUUUACAGCUGCCACUUGUGUGGUCACACGGUGACUCAUUGUUAAACCCCCUUUUGCUUUCUCUGCUGUCAUUUGAUUUGGUGAUUAAUAACUUAUAAACAAAUGGCUCUGCUUUCAGUUUUCUCUGCAACCCCCAGAGAGCAUAAGAUCUCUAUUUCCUAGCUGCCCUCUUCCCCAGUCUGGUGGGAUGUAGCUCACCAGGCAGGGUUAGUUUACAUGGGGGGCAACAUCUUCUCCAGGAGUCAGAGUCGAAGAGAAUGAACACAUUUCUGCUAAGAUGGUUUCUGCUGUUGCCAGUUGAGUGAAGCAACUUAAUGAACCACCAAGCAGCUGAGGGACUCAUCUAGAGACACAACAACAAAAAACAAGGCCCUUGUCAGAAGUCCCUUCCUCAGUCACGGAGGAGGUGUUACCUGAGAGUACCACUUCUGGGAUUUGGUUGCUGUGAAGCAUCUCUAUGCUCUGUGCUGGGUGAUAGAAAGUGAGGGUCAUAAGACAGCCCCCCCAUACAGCUUGUUGUAGGCAGGAGUUGUGCAGCCCCCUGCAGUAGACUCCCAUCUCAAACUCACACUAUACCAUUUCAUUGCCAGCCUCUUUUAAAAGCACAUUUAUUAGGAUAUAAUUCACAUACCACAAAAUUGCCUCUUUAAACUACGCCACUGGGUGUCUUUUCAGUAUGUCUGUGGAAUUGUACCCUAUCAUAUAGCCAUCACCACAGUCCACUGUAGGACAUUUUCAGUGUCCGGGAAGAAGUCUCAGGCACAUAGGCAGUCUCCCUCCAAUCCCCCUUCCCCACUCCACUACAGUCCCCACCACUGGCAAACCCUAACCCAUGUCAACCCGGUCCCCACCACUGGCAAACUCUAACCCAUGUCAACCUGGUCCCCACCAUGGGAAAUUACUAACCCACGUAACCCCAGUCCCCACUGCUGGAAAACCACUAACCCAUGUCACCCCAGUCCCUACCAUGGGCAAGCACUACCCCAUGUUCUGUCCUCUUGUGUCCAGCUUAUCAAACCCUGAGGCUCAUCCUUGUCAUAGCUGGUGUCAGUGCAUAGCUCCUCAUCAUGAACAAUAACAUUCCAUUCUGUGGACAGACCACACUGCUAAUUAAGUGAGUCUUUCCAAGAUUAUAUGCUAGAAACUGACGUCCUGACCUAACAGCGUUGGGGAUCGAGCCGUAUGAGAAGCAACCAGACAGUGUGGACUCUGCCUUCAUGAACAGAAGGAAGAAGGCAGGGCCUAACUGGAAGUUACUGAAGGCAUACCUUGGAGAUACAACACCCCAUGGACUCUUCCUUUAUACUCCCUAGCCACCAGGAGGAGCCAGGGCAGAGGGAGCGGCUGUGUGAGAUGGAGCCAGCUGAAGCUGACAGGGCGGCGGAAAGGGUACGUGAUGCUACGCGAUGUUUCCAGACUUCAGCAUCCACAUGCUUGCUCAGUACUCGAAAGUCAGAGGAGGAAACUGGGAUCCUGAUUUCCAUCCGGGUCCUGCCUUCCCCUACCAUCAGUCACGGGGCUGCAAACCCUAAAGGACCUCACUGGAGCUAUUACUGCUGUUUAAACCCUGAGAAGUCAAGGACCCAAAUUUGUCUCUUCUUAGCUUUUCUAGAUAAACUAAUGCAUAUAAGAACCAAAGAUCCCAUACCCCGUGAACUGGGAAGAGCGAGGAGAAGACACACACGCUCCCAGUCCCAUUCUUCUCUUGCAUAACCAGCAGAUCUCAUCCAGUCUUUCAAUUAAUUCAAUUAAGUUCCCCAAGCUUAAUCAUCUGGCGCCUGUUUCAAAGCUGGGCUGCUUCAUGGUAGAGUGGAAAGGCAGCGUCACACCAGAAAUCCAGAACAAUUGGAAACAAAACGUGAAGCCUACUGGAUAGACUGUGUGCUCGACAUGCCCAAGGCCCUGGGUUCCAUCCCCAGCACCGAACCAACCUCAAAACACCUGAAAAGAGGAGACAAUUAGAAAGUUACAGGAUAGCAUUAUCACGCUGCCUGGGCAGCCUUCCUCCAUCUCCUGCACGCCACACAAUAGCCUUCAAGACUGUCUUUGUUCUGGUGUUUCUCUGGGCUCUCUUGCCCACGGAGACUCCCCCCACCCCUUUCCUUCCUCUGGGUAGGUUUUAAUUGGGUAGACACUGCUUCUCAGACUUGAAAGUACACAGGUGUCACCUGAGGUCUUGUUAAAACACGGAUUCUGACUCAGCACAUUGGGAGCAGCCCGAGAACCUGUUUCUCUAACAAGUGUGUGGGUGACACCAGUGAGCGCCAUAUGCUCCGGGAUGGGUGGAUUAUUUGAUUAUUUUAAGUCUCUGCUUUCUGCGUUCUCUAGGGAGUAGGCAGAGGCUCCUGGGUGCCUGCCCUAAAGCAGGCACUCCUAGGCCAAAGAAACUCCUUUUCCAAGGAAGGAGAGCGCCUGAUUUCUCUUGUGCUUCUUCAAGGGAGAACCCCGCCAGUCCUCUGUGACACUGUCCCAAUUCUCUCGUUUCUUCAGAGACACUGAGGAACAGCCUUCUUAUAUUACAUAACAGAACAGAAAAGUCACACUGGCAUGGUUUCUAAACAGAGGGACUUUUAAUAAGCCAGGCGUGCAGACAUUACAAAUUCUCAUUUCGCCUUGCAUUCUGUCAUCUAUCUUCUGGGAAUGAGGCUUAGAGACCGUGGUGUAGCUCACUUAGAACAACAGACAAUUGUCACAGCCUGUUAAUUCCAUCUGCUUCUGACGGGGAGGGGAAAAUGGUUCCGUAGUGAAGUCAGAGGGGCUCAGACCCAGACAGGGGUUUUCCUGAGGGUCCCACAGCGAGAGCUAUUGUAUAAUGAGAGGAGUGAAGGAAAGGAAAAAAAGAGCGCCAAGCGGCCGCCCGCCGGGUGAUGGAGGCUUCUGUCUGCCAAUCACGCUUGAUGACGUUUGAGCCUUCUCUUCAGAAAACAACAACAACAACAACAAAACCCACAAACCACUGUCUGUGGGAGUCGCAGUGUAGAUAAGGAGAGGAAUGAAAGGGACGUUAGCUCCAGUCACGGUGGUGACGUGUUGUGUCUACAUGUGGACUAGGCCUCUAACUGAAGUGCCCACUAAUUACCAAGUGCUUUUGAAACCAAAAAGAUCACUGCCUAAACAUCCCUCAGUUUCUUUAGCUUAGAUUUCUUUUUAUAAAUUGAAACUUUAUUUAAAAAAAAAUAAGACAGCGUGCACCCGAAUUAAUCAGACCUGAGAUCUCUACAUCUCAGUGUAUAGACUUCUACGCAGAACAGUCAUUAGGAAGCUGUGGAUAGGUACAUUGGAUUUCACAUUCAUUUCAUGACUAAGAUUAUUGGUUUCACUGUGUAAAAUGUGUAUAAUUUCAGGAUGACUUUAGCAGUCCACUUACUGUUGUUGGGAGCCAGGAUUUUCCGCCAUCCGACUUGGGACUUAUGUCAUCUUGGAGAACCACAACUCACACCAGUGAAUAUCCCUGGAAUCUCUCACUGCAGAGAAUGAAACUGAACAAGAAGAGUCCCAGCUGCAGUGUUCUGCAUCUAUAAGGCUGCUCCUAGCCAGUGACAUCAUGUGGCAGUGAUCUUUCUGGAUCCAGUAGAAUCAGUAGCCUCUAACAGGCUCAGUAUGGUGGUAUGCUGUGCUCUCAAUGUUCAAGAGGCAGAGGCAGGAGGAUCUCAACUUAAGGGAAAGAUUACAUUGUCACCCAACUCUCGAACAGAAACUGACAGACUUCGACAUCACGCUGCUAACAAGGGAUGUUUCCAAGGCCACCCUUCCACAGAGACUGGCAUUUUCAGAUGAGCCAGCUUCACCGGGAAGACUGUUCCCAAAACCUGGCGAAAACCUUCAUCUGGUGAUGGAUGGAGAUAGAGACAGAGACCCACACUGGAGCACUGGACUGAGUUCCCAAGGUCCCAAUGAGGAGCAGAUGGAGGGAGAACACGAGCAAGGAUGUCAGGACCACGAGGGGUGCACCCACCCACUGAGACAGUGGGGCUGAUCUAUUGGGAGCUCACCAAGGCCAGCUGGACUGUGACUGAAAAAGCAUGGAAUAAAACCGGACUCUCUGAUCAUGGCGAACAAUGAGGGCUGAUGAGAAGCCAAGGACAAUGACAUUUUGAUCCUACUUCAUGUUCCGGCUUGGUGGGAGCCUAGCCAGUUUGGACGUUCACCUUCCUAGACAUGAACGGAGGGGGGAGG
Molecule: long non-coding RNA, 4196 nt
Organism: Alexandromys fortis (reed vole)
Lineage: Eukaryota; Metazoa; Chordata; Mammalia; Rodentia; Cricetidae
Exons: 6
Source: RefSeq, a predicted model, not a curated record